RNAcentral lists this ribosomal RNA (459 nucleotides) under uncultured bacterium. Its description in RNAcentral is "partial 16S ribosomal RNA". It matches the Rfam family "Bacterial small subunit ribosomal RNA", at positions 338 to 795 of the family's 1533-position model. The record is from RNAcentral.
CCUACGGGAGGCUGCAGUGAGGAAUAUUGGUCAAUGGUCGGGAGACUGAACCAGCCAAGCCGCGUGAGGGAGGAAGGUACAGGGUAUCGUAAACCUCUUUUGUCAGGGAACAAAGGCGGGGACGUGUCCCCGGAUGAGUGUACCUGAAGAAACAGCAUCGGCUAACUCCGUGCCAGCAGCCGCGGUAAUACGGAGGAUGCGAGGUUUAUCCGGAUUUAUUGGGUUAAAAGGGUGCGCAGGCGGUCUGUUAAGUCCGCGGUCAAAGCCAGGGGCGCAACCCCGGCCCGCCGUUGAAACUGGCAGUCUCGAGUGGGAGAGAGGUAUGCGGAAUGCGCGGUGUAGCGGUGAAAUGCAUGGAUAUCGCGCAGAACUCCGAUGGCGAAGGCAGCAUGCCGGCUCCACACUGACGCUGAGGCACGAAAGCGUGGGUAUCGAACAGGAUUAGAUACCCUUGUAGUC